CUCCAUAUUUUUUGAAUUGGUGCUUAACAGGCUGAUAUGAAAAGUUUAUCACAUGCUUCGAUUGUUAUCAAAUGCCUUUCCGUAACGUCUCGCAUGGCAUUCAGGUGAUACUCGCCAAAUUCAAGAAAAUACACCUCAAUGCUACAUUUUCAGUGAAAAACAUUACAAAGUAGUGUACAAAACAAUUAUUUGGAUACCGGUACAGUACUGGAAAGUAUAUUGUGUAAAAUAAUAAAAAAAAAAAAUGUAAAAAAUGUAAAACUAAAUGUAUUUUUUAAAAGCUUCAAACAUAAUUUAGAAAGUU
RNAcentral lists this long non-coding RNA (304 nucleotides) under Mytilus galloprovincialis (Mediterranean mussel). Lineage: Eukaryota; Metazoa; Mollusca; Bivalvia; Mytilida; Mytilidae. The record is from RNAcentral.